UACGUAGGGUGCGAGCGUUGUCCGGAAUUACUGGGCGUAAAGAGCUCGUAGGUGGUUUGUCGCGUUGUCCGUGAAAUUCCCUGGCUUAACUGGGGGCGUGCGGCGAUACGGGCAGACUGGGGUACUGCAGGGGAGACUGGAAUUCCUGGUGUAGCGGUGGAAUGCGCAGAUAUCAGGAGGAACACCGGUGGCGAAGGCGGGU
This 202-nucleotide ribosomal RNA is filed under the name uncultured bacterium. Its description in RNAcentral is "partial 16S ribosomal RNA". It matches the Rfam family "Bacterial small subunit ribosomal RNA", at positions 524 to 726 of the family's 1533-position model. The record is from RNAcentral.